GGAACGAAGCGGGGGUGCUCCCAUUCUGGAGCUGAGACAUACCCUUGGAACCUGAUCCGGUUAGCACCGGCGUAGGAAAGCUUCAGCGCUCAUGCC
Molecule: non-coding RNA, 96 nt
Filed under: Candidatus Contendibacter
Lineage: Bacteria; Pseudomonadati; Pseudomonadota; Gammaproteobacteria; Candidatus Competibacteraceae
Also listed under: 1 other name
Description: Candidatus Contendobacter TPP sequence
Rfam family: TPP riboswitch aptamer (THI element)
About the family: Vitamin B(1) in its active form thiamin pyrophosphate (TPP) is an essential coenzyme that is synthesised by coupling of pyrimidine and thiazole moieties in bacteria. The previously detected thiamin-regulatory element, thi box was extended, resulting in a new, highly conserved RNA secondary structure, the THI element, which is widely distributed in eubacteria and also occurs in some archaea.
Source: RNAcentral